RNAcentral lists this ribosomal RNA (433 nucleotides) under uncultured bacterium. Its description in RNAcentral is "partial 16S ribosomal RNA". It matches the Rfam family "Bacterial small subunit ribosomal RNA", at positions 29 to 507 of the family's 1533-position model. The record is from RNAcentral.
AACGAACGCUGGCGGCAUGCCUAACACAUGCAAGUCGAACGAGACCUUCGGGUCUAGUGGCGCACGGGUGCGUAACGCGUGGGAACCUGCCCUUAGGUUCGGAAUAACUCCCCGAAAGGGGUGCUAAUACCGGAUAAUGUCUUCGGACCAAAGAUUUAUCGCCUUUGGAUGGGCCCGCGUUGGAUUAGCUAGUUGGUAGGGUAAAAGCCUACCAAGGCGACGAUCCAUAGCUGGUCUGAGAGGAUGAUCAGCCACACUGGGACUGAGACACGGCCCAGACUCCUACGGGAGGCAGCAGUGGGGAAUAUUGGACAAUGGGCGAAAGCCUGAUCCAGCAAUGCCGCGUGAGUGAUGAAGGCCUUAGGGUUGUAAAGCUCUUUUACCCGAGAUGAUAAUGACAGUACCGGGAGAAUAAGCUCCGGCUAACUACGUG